CCCUAUGGGGUGCAGCAGGAGGAGGGCCUGGCCGUCACGUACGAGGCUCUGCGGCUUAGCAGGACGUGCGGCUUUGCCCUGCAGGAGGUUGCGUGCCUGCUGGAGUGCGGACGCAUCGAACAGGCGAUGGGGCACCUUGACGACGCCACAACUCACUUCGAGCAGGCAGUGGAGGUUGCAGAGAGCCACCAUAUGGGCGACCUCCUUCCCCCUGCGCUGGAGUCGUUGUCCUCAGCCAGGGCAGCCGCCGGUCGGUUCGAGGAAGCCUACCAGUUCCUGCUGAAGUCUGUCACGACCGCGCGCGCCUGGUCCAGCGCGGAGGCCGCGCGCAAGCUUGCCGAACUCGCGACUGGCUACCGUCUUGAGAAGGUCCAGCACGAGGCGGAAUUGGCGGGAGGGC
Molecule: ribosomal RNA, 400 nt
Filed under: uncultured prokaryote
Description: partial 16S ribosomal RNA
Source: RNAcentral